Molecule: ribosomal RNA, 481 nt
Filed under: uncultured bacterium
Lineage: Bacteria
Description: partial 16S ribosomal RNA
Rfam family: Bacterial small subunit ribosomal RNA
Source: RNAcentral
GAUGAACGCUGGCGGCGUGCUUAACACAUGCAAGUCGAACGAAGCACUUUAUUUUAUUUCCUUCGGGACUGAUUAUUUUGUGACUGAGUGGCGGACGGGUGAGUAACGCGUGGGUAACCUGCCCUGUACAGGGGGAUAACAGCUGGAAACGGCUGCUAAUACCGCAUAAGCGCACGGCAUCGCAUGAUGCAGUGUGAAAAACUCCGGUGGUAUAAGAUGGACCCGCGUUGGAUUAGCUAGUUGGUGAGGUAACGGCCCACCAAGGCGACGAUCCAUAGCCGAGCUGAGAGGGUGACCGGCCACAUUGGGACUGAGAAGCGGCCCAAACUCCUACGGGAGGGAGCAGUGGGGAAUAUUGCACAAUGGGCGAAAGCCUGAUGCAGCGACGCCGCGUGAGCGAAGAAGUAUUUCGGUAUGUAAAGCUCUAUAAGCAGGGAAGAUAAUGACGGUACCUGACGAAGAAGCACCGGCUAAAUACGUG